RNAcentral lists this unclassified non-coding RNA (287 nucleotides) under Cladosporium cladosporioides. RNAcentral describes it as "sequence contains ITS1, 5.8S rRNA gene, ITS2, 28S rRNA gene". The stretch from base 230 to 287 matches the Rfam family "Eukaryotic large subunit ribosomal RNA", at positions 1 to 58 of the family's 3401-position model. Lineage: Eukaryota; Fungi; Ascomycota; Dothideomycetes; Cladosporiales; Cladosporiaceae. The record is from RNAcentral.
AGAUCAGUGAUCAUCGAUCUUUAGACGCACAUUGCGCCCCCUGGUAUUCCGGGGGGCAUGCCUGUUCGAGCGUCAUUUCACCACUCAAGCCUCGCUUGGUAUUGGGCAACGCGGUCCGCCGCGUGCCUCAAAUCGACCGGCUGGGUCUUCUGUCCCCUAAGCGUUGUGGAAACUAUUCGCUAAAGGGUGUUCGGGAGGCUACGCCGUAAAACAACCCCAUUUCUAAGGUUGACCUCGGAUCAGGUAGGGAUACCCGCUGAACUUAAGCAUAUCAAUAAGCGGAGGAA